AGCAUCUUCCUCCUCUGACAUCAGAUUAUAGAGCAUCUUCCUCCUCUGACAUCAGAUUAUAGAGCAUCUUCCUCCUCUUGCAUCCGGAUUAUAGAGCAUCUUCCUCCUCUGAUCCA
Molecule: long non-coding RNA, 116 nt
Organism: Salarias fasciatus (jewelled blenny)
Lineage: Eukaryota; Metazoa; Chordata; Actinopteri; Blenniiformes; Blenniidae
Exons: 3
Source: RefSeq, a predicted model, not a curated record